CAACUUUCAACAACGGAUCUCUUGGCUCUCGCAUCGAUGAAGAACGCAGCGAAUUGCGAUAAGUAAUGUGAAUUGCAGAAUAACGUGAAUCAUCGAAUCUUUGAACGCAUAUUGCACUCUCUGGUAAUCCGGAGAGUAUGCCUGUUUGAGGGUCAGU
RNAcentral lists this ribosomal RNA (157 nucleotides) under uncultured Glomus. RNAcentral describes it as "5.8S ribosomal RNA". It matches the Rfam family "5.8S ribosomal RNA". Rfam says of the family: 5.8S ribosomal RNA (5.8S rRNA) is a component of the large subunit of the eukaryotic ribosome. It is transcribed by RNA polymerase I as part of the 45S precursor that also contains 18S and 28S rRNA. The record is from RNAcentral. Lineage: Eukaryota; Fungi; Glomeromycota; Glomeromycetes; Glomerales; Glomeraceae.